Mauremys reevesii (Reeves's turtle) is the source of this 1018-nucleotide long non-coding RNA. RefSeq lists it as uncharacterized. NCBI's taxonomy places the organism in Eukaryota, Metazoa, Chordata, Testudines, Geoemydidae. The record is from RefSeq and is a predicted model, not a curated record. The transcript is spliced from 5 exons.
GCAGAGCGGAGCCGCGACGUGCAAGGAAGAAGUCUGCGCGGAAGGAAAUGCAAGAGCCCGGAUCUAGCAAUAGGCGAAAGCAACGCGCUGCGAACUGCUGCGAAGGCGAGACGCCCAGCGCGCCCUGGAAGCUCCGCUACCCUGCCCGACGGUGGAUCCCUUCCCUUCCUCACUGCCGCCAAAACAAUCCAUCCCAAAUGUUACAUGAGAACCUUUGAAUGCUGGGACGAGGAUGCUGGGAUGAGGACACUGGGAACGUAGAUGCUGAUUCUGCAAAAUGCUGAGCAACUUUAUCUCCCGUUGACAUCAGUGGGUGUUAUGCUUAAUUGGAGUGGAACACUUCAACACCAUUAAAUUGAAACAAGCUACCAGCUUUUUCUUGCUUGUGUUUCUGGCCUGGUUCCAAAUGACGUUUAAAGCAAUCUCAGAUGUUUAAUUCCUGCCACACAGGCUGCUUGCUUGGGGUGGGGGAAAUACAGCAACCGACAUAACCAUAUUAAAGUUAAAAAGAUUUCCAGACAAAAGAAAGUUUGGACGAAACUUACUGGGCCCCAUUCUGCUUGCACUCAACGGGUGUAAAUCUGGAGUAACUGUUUUAAUCAGGGAAGUGCUUCUCGAUUCACACCCUUGUAACCAAGGGCUGAAUCUGACCCUUCAGGGAGCGUGGAGCCUCAGAGGGGGUGAGCAGAAGGCAGAGUCCUAGCAGCACACCUCACCACACACCAGUCAAGGAAUUCAGACACCUGCAGCGAGAGGUUGUGUGGGAGCUCUGGAAGGUAUUACACACGCCUCCAUUGUAUUCAGAGAUGAAUAAGCUAAGAUAGAUUCUGAAGGCUUGAUACUGUGUGCAUCUGUCUGCAACGUAGCUUCUCUUUUGUGAUAACGACCCAAGCGAAAGAAAGAGGCAUGUUUGGAUAAAUCUGCUAAAAAAACUGGGACUUAGUCACUUCCCAGGAAUGUUGUGCCAGGAACACAAAGCACGAGUCCAUUCUUGCAAUAAACCCUAAGGUUAAAAUUA